GGGUCCGUAGGCGGUUUAAUAAGUCAGUGGUGAAAGCCCAUCGCUCAACGGUGGAACGGCCAUUGAUACUGUUAAACUUGAAUUAUUAGGAAGUAACUAGAAUAUGUAGUGUAGCGGUGAAAUGCUUAGAGAUUACAUGGAAUACCAAUUGCGAAGGCAGGUUACUACUAAUGGAUUGACGCUGAUGGACGAAAGCGUGGGUAGCGAACAGGAUUAGAUACCCUGGUAGUCCACGCCGUAAACGAUGGAUACUAGCUGUUGGAAGCAAUUUCAGUGGCUAAGCGAAAGUGAUAAGUAUCCCACCUGGGGAGUACGUUCGCAAGAAUGAAACUCAAAGGAAUUGACGGGGGCCCGCACAAGCGGUGGAGCAUGUGGUUUAAUUCGAUGAUACGCGAGGAACCUUACCAAGGCUUAAAUGUAGAUUGACCGGUUUGGAAACAGAUCUUUCGCAAGACAAUUUACAAGGUGCUGCAUGGUUGUCGUCAGCUCGUGCCGUGAGGUGUCAGGUUAAGUCCUAUAACGAGCGCAACCCCUGUUGUUAGUUGCCAGCGAGUCAUGUCGGGAAACUCUACAAGACUGCCAGUGC
Molecule: ribosomal RNA, 586 nt
Filed under: Flavobacterium sp.
Lineage: Bacteria; Pseudomonadati; Bacteroidota; Flavobacteriia; Flavobacteriales; Flavobacteriaceae
Description: bacterial SSU rRNA
Rfam family: Bacterial small subunit ribosomal RNA
Source: RNAcentral